AGAGCGAACGCUGGCGGCAGGCCUAAUACAUGCAAGUCGAACGGCUUCUUCGGAAGCAGUGGCGGACGGGUGAGUAACGCGUGGGAACGUGCCCUUUGGUACGGAACAACUGAGGGAAACUUCAGCUAAUACCGUAUGUGCCCUUCGGGGGAAAGAUUUAUCGCCAUUGGAGCGGCCCGCGUUGGAUUAGGUAGUUGGUGAGGUAAAGGCUCACCAAGCCUACGAUCCAUAGCUGGUCUGAGAGGAUGAUCAGCCACACUGGGACUGAGACACGGCCCAGACUCCUACGGGAGGCAGCAGUAGGGAAUCUUGCGCAAUGGGCGAAAGCCUGACGCAGCCAUGCCGCGUGAAUGAUGAAGGUCUUAGGAUUGUAAAAUUCUUUCACCGGGACAUAAUGACGGUACCGGAGAAGAAGCCCGGCUAACUUCGCGCCAGCAGCCGC
Molecule: ribosomal RNA, 442 nt
Filed under: uncultured bacterium
Lineage: Bacteria
Description: SSU rRNA
Rfam family: Bacterial small subunit ribosomal RNA
Source: RNAcentral